Molecule: non-coding RNA, 3482 nt
Organism: Anas platyrhynchos (mallard)
Lineage: Eukaryota; Metazoa; Chordata; Aves; Anseriformes; Anatidae
Source: RefSeq, a predicted model, not a curated record
GGCCCGCCGGGCACUCACCGGCGGCCUCUGGCCGAAGCGGUCAGGGUGAAGGGCGCGCUGCAGGCUCCGAAAGCGCCGCUGCAGCCGCUGCACGUCGAGGCUGAAGGAGCGGUCACUGCGGGCGACAGAAGGCGGCGUGAGGCCCGCGGCCGGCUGCGCCCCCGGCCGCCCCGGCGGCACUCACCAGUCCAUGAGGCGGAAGAGGUCAGGCCGGGGCCCCGGCGGCUGCAGGGCCCGGCAGCUGGGGCAGAAAUGAGGCAGUCCCGCGGCGCCGGGGACGGGACCGCCGCAGCUCCAACAGCGCGGGGCCGGGGGAGAGGCCGGCCCGACGCAGCGAGGCCGCAGGGCCGCCUCGGAAACGCGGAGCGCCCACCGCGCCCCGCCGAGAUGCUGCCGCAGCGCCGCCUGCAUCCCUGCAGACUACAGCUCCCGGCAGCCCCGCGCGCCCGGCCGGGCCCCCAUUGGCCCAGUUCGCAGCGAGCCGGCGGGGCGCGCGCGCGCUGGGCCGGGCGGCGGGGAGGUCGCGCGGCGCGGGCUGCGCCACUCGGGAGUGCGGCCCCGGGCGCGGCCCGGCCCCGGCCGCCGCCGCCCUUCCCGGGAGCCAACAUGUCUCGAGAGACUGGAAAUGAAGUGCAGCAGUCUCAAGGUGCCCAACAGUCACAGAGUGGUACCAGUUCCUCUUCUAGUGCAUCACAGAGUGCUAGCCAGUCAUCCUCAAGUUCUGGGACCCUCAGUUCUUUGGACACCGUUCCCACUCAAGAGCUUCCAUCAAUUCCUGAGGAUCAGGAACCUGAAGAGCUUGUUCCUCAGCCUUGGGGUCGACUCUUUGCACUUGGAAAAGGUUUCAGCAAUUGUGAUUGCGUGAAUGAUGAAUACUGGUUUGGAAGAGACAAAAGCUGUGAUUAUAGUUUUUCAAAGCUAGGAUUGUCCGAGACUGGAUUCUACCAAAACUAUAGCAAGAAGCACUUCCGAAUUUUUAGGGAAAUGGGUCCAAAAAAAUCCUAUGUUGCCUAUAUUGAAGAUCACAGUGCAAAUGGAACUUUCAUUAAUAGAGAGCUCAUUGGAAAAGGGAGGAGACUUCCACUGACUCACAACUCUGAAAUUGCACUGUCUAUUCAGACUAAUAAGGUGUUUGUAUUUUCUGAUCUUAUGGUGGAUGAUCAGUUGGUGUUUCCUAGAGAAUUCAGAGAGAAAUAUAUCAUGUCAAAGACUUUGGGAAGUGGUGCCUGUGGAGAAGUCAAACUGGCAUUUGAGAAGAGCACUUGUAACAAAGUUGCAGUAAAGAUAAUCAAUAAACGGAAGUUUAUGGCAAGUGGUAUUAGAGAGGCAAAUCCAGCUUUUAAUAUCAACACAGAAAUUGAAAUAUUGAAGAAAAUAGAUCAUCCUUGCUUAAUCAAGAUCAAAAACUUCUUUGAAGCAGAGGAUUACUACAUUGUUUUGGAAUUGAUGGAAGGAGGAGAAUUAUAUGACAGAGUGUCAAGGCCAAUCAAGAUGAAAGAAGCUACCUGCAAAUUGUAUUUUUAUCAGAUGCUACUGGCUGUGAAGUAUCUUCAUGACAAUGGAAUUAUACACCGAGAUCUAAAGCCAGAGAAUGUGUUACUCUCAUCUUCUGAAGAGACAUGUCUGAUAAAGAUUACAGAUUUUGGACAAUCCAAGAUUCUUGGAGAAACUUCUCUUAUGAAAACAUUAUGUGGUACUCCCACGUAUCUUGCUCCUGAGGUUCUAAAUUCACUUGGGACUGCUGGAUACAGCCGAGCUGUGGACUGUUGGAGCUUAGGAGUUAUUCUUUUUGUAUGCUUGUGUGGAUAUCCACCAUUUAAUGAGCAAAACACUCAACUAUCUCUGAAAGAUCAAAUCACUCGUGGAGAAUACACAUUCAUUUCAAAAGAAUGGAAACAUGUAUCAGGCAUGGCUCUAGAUCUUGUGAAGAAGCUGUUAGUAGUGGAUCCGAGCAAACGUGCUACAAUAGAGGAAGCCUUAGACCAUCCUUGGCUUCAGUUAUUUAUAGGUAAUGUACACUGCCUGCUUGGAAGGCCAACAUUCAAUAUGUUCAGUUCUACAUAUCACACACCUUGAAUACUACCACCAAAAAAGCUGCUUACAUCCUGUUACUGCAAUUAGUAAGAAGGAGCUACUGGCUCCCCACUCCCUCUUGUGUUGUCUGUAAGUAUUGUCUUAUGAAGUGUGAAAAAAAUCCACAAGAUUCAUGCUUUGUGUGCAGCUAAUGCAUAUUAGCCUCCUCUAGUGAUUUGGGGUCCACUAGAGAAUUUUUCAGAUAUUAUAACUUGGACCCAUGGGUUGGACCCAAUGAUCUUUGUCCCUUCCAACGCCUUCAAUUCUGUGAUUCUGUGAUAAGUAUGCAUGUUCUCAAAACAAAACAUCAUUUCUACAGCUCUAUUUAAACCAGUACUGUUUUCAAAUUAGUGUUUUAAUACCUGUGCUGUUUACUCCAUUCUUCAUUUAAACCUAAAACUUUAAAACUUAGUGGGCCACUUAAACCUGAGUACUAUUCAGUGGAUAUAUUUUACCUGUAUUUACAUGAGUCAUCUGAGGUCCCAGCUAUAACUUCACUGAAGUCCAUGUCAACCAAGUAGGUACUUCUUAAUAAAACAUACUUGAAAGGCAUACAAUCAAUUAAUUGCUGUGUCUGCCUCUGUGUUACUGCAAUCUUGUGAAAGGUUCAAGAUUAUUUUGGUUGUUUGCUGAAAAAAAGCUCAGGUGUUUGUUGUGUAAGUGAAAAAAAUAUCUUGACUAUCAACUCAGAGGUAGCCACAGUCAAAACGUGACACUGAAAAUAGGUAAGUCCAAAUUCGGUGUAGAAUAAAUUGGAUGUUCACAUCAAAAUCCUUCUGUACUGCUUAAGAAUGUAAUUGAACCAAAAAAGGAGAUAUUGCAAUACUCCAUAGACUAGAAUAAGAAUCCACCUCCAUUCUUUCCUUCCACCCAAAAAAUGGUUAAAAUUUUUGAAACCCUUAGAAGCUAGAUGUUCCUUAUUUCUAAUUGUGCCUCUACCAGUGAACAUCCCAUUCACUUCUCUUUGAGUCCCCCAGUCUUUGCUGUCAUUAUGGGACAAAGUUAUAACACCUUUUAUCUUCAGUCAGUCAUUUAGAAUAAAUGUCUGUUUUUGGUUCCAGAUCAGUUGUUCAGCUGGUGAACCUACAGUCACUGUUCAAAAGCUCAGCCACAGGAAAUGAUCUGUAUUAUAUGACUAUGAGCAGCUUACUUCAUUUAGUCCCAGGAAAGGUUUCAAGACCUGAUUCAGCUUUGGAAGUCUGAUUUAGGGUUUGCAGUCAGACCUGUUCAUGCACAAGUGAGACUAAUGACAUCCCUGAGUCUACUUCGCUCCAAGUGCAUCUCCCACUUGCCCUCCCCAAACAGCAGCUGCUGGUUUACCACUUCUGGAUGAGAAUAUGAAGAAUACAUUUCAACAGCUACUUGCUCAGACAAAUGCCACUAUGAAUCCACCGCAAACAUCAAAAAUG